Molecule: ribosomal RNA, 432 nt
Filed under: uncultured eukaryote
Lineage: Eukaryota
Description: bacterial SSU rRNA
Rfam family: Eukaryotic small subunit ribosomal RNA
Source: RNAcentral
CAGUAGCGUAUAUUAAAGUUGUUGCGGUUAAAAAGCUCGUAGUUGGAUUUCUGCCGAGGACGACCGGUCCGCCCUCUGGGUGAGCAUCUGGGACGGCCUGGGCAUCUUCUUGGGGAACGUAGCUGCACUUGACUGUGUGGUGCGGUAUCCAGGACUUUUACUUUGAGGAAAUUAGAGUGUUUCAAGCAGGCGCACGCCUUGAAUACAUUAGCAUGGAAUAAUAAGAUAGGACCUCGGUUCUAUUUUGUUGGUUUUCGGUAAAUACGAGUUAAUGAUUAACAGGGACGAAUUAGGGGGCGAUUAGUAUUCAGACGACAGAGGUGGAAAUUACUUGGACCGUCUGAAGACUGACUACUGCGAAGACAUUUGUCCAAGAGUGUUUUCUAUUAAUCAAGAACGAAAGUUAGAGGUUCGAAGACGAUCAGAUACCGU